This 31-nucleotide non-coding RNA is filed under the name Rattus norvegicus (Norway rat). Lineage: Eukaryota; Metazoa; Chordata; Mammalia; Rodentia; Muridae. The record is from RNAcentral.
UAACACAUUGUCUGGUUGAAGUGUCCUUAGU